UACGUAGGUGGCAAGCGUUUUCCGGAAUUUUUGGGCGUAAAGCGCGCGCAGGCGGUCCUUUAAGUCUGAUGUUAAAGCCCACGGCUCAACCGUGGAGGGUCAUUGGAAACUGGGGGACUUGAGUGCAGAAGAGGAGAGUGGAAUUCCACGUGUAGCGGUGAAAUGCGUAGAGAUGUGGAGGAACACCAGUGGCGAAGGCGACUCUCUGGUCUGUAACUGACGCUGAGGCGCGAAAGCGUGGGGAGCAAACAGG
This 253-nucleotide ribosomal RNA is filed under the name uncultured bacterium. RNAcentral describes it as "partial 16S ribosomal RNA". It matches the Rfam family "Bacterial small subunit ribosomal RNA", at positions 524 to 776 of the family's 1533-position model. The record is from RNAcentral.